CUCAUCUGUUUCCCCAACAGAAGGCGGAGACAUUGAUGGUUAGAUAAAUGUACAUAAAUUUCUGACUCUAAGAGAAUGAAUAUCUUAUUUAAUAUUGCGCUGCUAAUCACUGGCCAAUGGCAUGAGGUGGUCAUAUAUAAGUAGUAGCUGCUGUCUGAGCAUGUUGCGGUCAUCGGUCACCUGACUUCUCUAGCUGUUACAUAAGCCUCCCCUCCGUCCAUUAGGUUGUAGCUGCAGAAGCCUCCUAUUGCUGCUUGUCUGAGCUACAAAAAGUGUUGCUGCUUUUUCUUCUUCUUUGAUUUGUUUUGGGUUUCGUAGCUUUACUUGUUUUUGAGACGGGAGUGUCCAAUCCAGUAACAGGCUGGGCACUAAAGCUUCCGACUCCCAGUUCUUUUCUUUUUUUGUUUUGUUUUAUUUUUCUUUUAUUUUUUGUCGUCACUCCACCAAAGUCCACAUAAAAAAAAGGAAAAAAAGGGUUACAUCAGUCAACAGGACGAUGGAGGAAGCAUCUCUACUACGUCUAAACUGAAGCAGCCUACAGGUCACAUGACCAUCCAGCAUGUUUCCAGGUCUGAUGAAGGCCUCUACAAGUGUGACAUCAGCGGUCAUGGAGAGUCUCCAUCCAGCUGGAUCACUGUCACAGGGGAACACACCACCACACCUCCACCUGCAUUUUCUGCUGGUUCGUCCCUUCUCCCUGUGUUGCUGACAGCUCAAUCAGCCUGUGUUGUAGUUAUACUGGAGUUACUGGUUCUUUUGCUGGAAUGAAACGUUCAAAGGAAACUCAAAGCUACACCUCCACCUGCAGCCACAGCUCCAUCUGCAGCCACCUCUGCAUUGGCCUCUCUGGAUUUUUACUCUCUUCUCCCCAUGGUGGUGACUGCUGCGUUGGUCUGUCUCGUGGUUGUAGUGGUGUUAAUGUUUCUUUUGAUGGAACAAACCAGUCACAGUCAACUUGAAGAGUUUCCAAGAGAGCCAGACGUCAUCUACUCUGAAGUGAAGCAUUUCACCAGUCCAGCCACUGAGAUCCAGCUGCAGGUCUCUCACAGUCCUCAAAGCACCUGAUGAAGAUUUUUAUGUGAAGAACCUGCAAAAACAAAGAAAUAAACAAAUGUGCCUUCAGCAACAUGUAGUUAAGCGAGAAUAUAACUAAUAUAUUAAUCUAAUGCUGUGUAUUUAAUGCUAUUUAUAUAUUUUAUUUCUAAAUGUGGGGCCCUGCUGGUGUCUUCACAGCAGUAAUUUGGUUUCUCUGCAGGAUCAGUAAACUUUAGUCUCCCUUGCUGUUCUUCUCAUGUGGCUUUGUGAGUUUCAUAAAGACGUCUGAGAGGAAACUAUGAAUAGUUACGGCCAACAGAUACACACCUCUGUUUGGAGCAGAUAACAAAGAAAGAAACAAUCAAAACUUGACUUCAACUGCAGACUAAAGCAGGAAUCAUUCAAAGCUGGAAAAUAAAGACUGAGAACAAAGUGUGUGAGUUUGAAUAACUUUGAUUUGAAGAAAUUAAAUAUUAAAUAUGUGAGACUUUAUUUUCAGGUCAUUUGCGGCUUGUCUAGAGUCCUCGCUUGUUGUUGUUUUUACUGUAACAUACUAAACAUGCGCUUUUUCAGUCCAAAGGUUUUCAAAUUGGGGUUUCCAAACAGGCAGAACAACCCUAACCUUGUAUGAGUUGCCAAAGACCUGAUAGCUGUGAGGGGGUAAAACUGAUCAAGUGGGGACAAAAAGAGAAAUGCUUCUUCACAUCUGUCUUUAGUUCUUUUAAGCUAUGUAUUGGUGCUGUUUAUUCAGUUUAUCCUACUGUAAUAAAUGCUCACUUGCAGGAGUCAUGUGUUUGUAGAAAAAUGAGCUGUAAUGUGUUCUGGGAGGAGUGAAAUGCAGUUCAUGAAUGUGAUAUUUGCCUGUAAGCUUUAUACAACUGUGUCCUUCUGUUUAAGUGUGAAAUAAAAUGAAUAUGAUGAUAAAGUGA
This is a long non-coding RNA of Oreochromis aureus, 1964 nucleotides long. The record is from Ensembl. NCBI's taxonomy places the organism in Eukaryota, Metazoa, Chordata, Actinopteri, Cichliformes, Cichlidae.